UGGGGAAUAUUGCACAAUGGGCGAAAGCCUGAUGCAGCAACGCCGCGUGAGUGAUGAAGGCCUUCGGGUUGUAAAGCUCUGUCUUUUGGGACGAUAAUGACGGUACCAAAGGAGGAAGCCACGGCUAACUACGUGCCAGCAGCCGCGGUAAUACGUAGGUGGCAAGCGUUGUCCGGAUUUACUGGGCGUAAAGGAUGCGUAGGCGGAUUUUUAAGUGAGAUGUGAAAUACCCGGGCUUAACUUGGGUGCUGCAUUUCAAACUGGGAAUCUAGAGUGCGGGAGAGGAGAAUGGAAUUCCUAGUGUAGCGGUGAAAUGCGUAGAGAUUAGGAAGAACACCAGUGGCGAAGGCGAUUCUCUGGACCGUAACUGACGCUGAGGCAUGAAAGCGUGGGUAGCAAACAGGAUUAGAUACCCUGGUAGUCCACGCCGUAAAACGAUGAGUACUAGGUGUAGGAGGUAUCGACCCCUUCUGUGCCGCAGUUAACACAAUAAGUACUCCGCCUGGGAAGUACGAUCGCAAGAUUAAAAACUUAAAAGG
This 539-nucleotide ribosomal RNA is filed under the name uncultured bacterium. Its description in RNAcentral is "partial 16S ribosomal RNA". It matches the Rfam family "Bacterial small subunit ribosomal RNA", at positions 355 to 908 of the family's 1533-position model. The record is from RNAcentral.